AUUGAACUCCUGCCUCAGGGUUAUUGCUGUUUAUCAUUUUGCUGCUGCAGUUCAAACUGCUCUGAAACACUGUCCUUCUCCAGUCUGACCUCUUCUACCCCAGCCAGAGCAGGGUGAGCCCUUGUAAAAUUGUGGGUUACACAGUGUUUGGACGUUCCUGUGUAAUUUUUGUUUCUGUGUCUGUGCUAAACAGUUGCUCUGUGGAAUUUCCACUAUGAUCAGUUAGGGUAGAAAACUUAGCAUUUUCACUAAAAAUGAGAGAUCACUGACUGGCUGCUUGUUCGGCAUAAAUCAAGGUCAAUACAAUCUCCUUGAUUUCAUAUCUCCAAGCUAGUCUGAACUUGCUCUUCAGCACGACUGCACUCCUUCAGGCAAUGCUCCGCAUAGUUUCCUCCUACUUGUAGCCAAAUGUGUCUUCAUUAAAUUCUUGAUUUAUUUACUUUUAAUAAAUACUCUGAGUGAAAUGCUCUGGCUACAUUUUCAGCUUUUUUGAUCCUAAACAUCCAUAAUGGGGAAGAAAAGCUUUAGGUAUGCAAAGUGGGGAUACAUAUAAAACAUCCAUAGGAAAACACUGUGUAGCCAGUUAAAAGAUUAAGUCGAAUGAAAUAAGCAAUAUACAGAGUCCUUCCUUGUCAGCUCAGAGCUCCUGGUCAUGGCUGGAUGACCAUGCAAUGCAAAUUUUUUGAUUAUGUUGUUCUGUCCUGAUUGUUGACAUAGCUGCAUGCUACCUGGGAUGACUUAGUGUUAUAGUUACUGAUAUUUGGAGAGUUGAAAUUUGUUUUCUCUACACACGGAAGGUGUGGGUUAUAUACAUUUAUUCUUCAAGUUUAUACUGACAUAUGUCUCUGUGAGCCCUCAUGUUAAUCUUUUCACCACAGCUUCUCUGCAGCAGAUUGUAAAAGAAAGAGGGGAUACUCUGGAAGAGUGAAGAAAUCUUUUGCAGUUCAUGCAGACCGACAUGGCCAUGCUACUCAGGACUGGUUGGACUGGUAAGGGGAGAGUCUCCUCUUUGCCACUCCUACCUUGGCUCGCUC
RNAcentral lists this long non-coding RNA (1034 nucleotides) under Struthio camelus australis. RNAcentral describes it as "lncRNA (ENSSCUG00000016884.1)". The record is from RNAcentral. Lineage: Eukaryota; Metazoa; Chordata; Aves; Struthioniformes; Struthionidae.